Molecule: ribosomal RNA, 492 nt
Filed under: uncultured bacterium
Lineage: Bacteria
Description: partial 16S ribosomal RNA
Rfam family: Bacterial small subunit ribosomal RNA
Source: RNAcentral
AGCGAACGCUGGCGGUAGGCCUAACACAUGCAAGUCGAACGGCAGCACAGUAAGAGCUUGCUCUUACGGGUGGCGAGUGGCGGACGGGUGAGGAAUACAUCGGAAUCUACUUUUUCGUGGGUGAUAACGUAGGGAAACUUACGCUAAUACCGCAUACGACCUACGGGUGAAAGCAGGGGAUCUUCGGACCUUGCGCGAUUGAAUGAGCCGAUGUCGGAUUAGCUAGUUGGCGGGGUAAAGGCCCACCAAGGCGACGAUCCGUAGCUGGUCUGAGAGGAUGAUCAGCCACACUGGAACUGAGACACGGUCCAGACUCCUACGGGAGGCAGCAGUGGGGAAUAUUGGACAAUGGGCGCAAGCCUGAUCCAGCCAUACCGCGUGGGUGAAGAAGGCCUUCGGGUUGUAAAGCCCUUUUGUUGGGAAAGAAAAGCAGCAGGUUAAUACCCCGCUGUUCUGACGGUACCCAAAGAAUAAGCACCGGCUAACUUCGUG